AGAGUUUGAUCAUGGCUCAGAACGAACGCUGGCGGCGCGCUAAUACAUGCAAGUCGAGCGAGAAGACGUAGCAAUACGUUUGUAAAGCGGCGAACGGGUGAGGAAUACAUGGGUAACCUACCCUCGAGUGGGGAAUAACUAGCCGAAAGGUUAGCUAAUACCGCAUACGACUCUCGGUCUGCGGAUCGGGAGGGAAAGCGAUACCGUGGGUAUCGCGCUCUUGGAUGGGCUCAUGUCCUAUCAGCUUGUUGGUGAGGUAACGGCUCACCAAGGCUUCGACGGGUAGCUGGUCUGAGAGGACGAUCAGCCACACUGGCACUGCGACACGGGCCAGACUCCUACGGGAGGCAGCAGUAAGGAAUAUUGCGCAAUGGGCGACAGCCUGACGCAGCGACGCCGCGUGGGGGAUGAAGGUCUUCGGAUUGUAAACCCCUUUCGGCAGGGAAGAUGGAGCGGGCAACCGCUCGGACGGUACCUGCAGAAGCAGCCACGGCUAACUUCGUGCCAGCAGCCGCGGUAAUACGAAGGUGGCAAGCGUUGUUCGGAUUUACUGGGCGUACAGGGAGCGUAGGCGGUUGGGUAAGCCCUCCGUGAAAUCUCCGGGCCUAACCCGGAAAGUGCGGAGGGGACUGCUCGGCUAGAGGAUGGGAGAGGAGCGCGGAAUUCCCGGUGUAGCGGUGAAAUGCGUAGAGAUCGGGAGGAAGGCCGGUGGCGAAGGCGGCGCUCUGGAACAUUUCUGACGCUGAGGCUCGAAAGCGUGGGGAGCAAACAGGAUUAGAUACCCUGGUAGCCCACGCCUUAAACGAUGGAUACUAAGUGUCGGCGGGUUACCGCCGGUGCCGCAGCUAACGCAGUAAGUAUCCCGCCUGGGAAGUACGGCCGCAAGGUUGAAACUCAAAGGAAUUGACGG
Molecule: ribosomal RNA, 910 nt
Filed under: uncultured bacterium
Lineage: Bacteria
Description: bacterial SSU rRNA
Rfam family: Bacterial small subunit ribosomal RNA
Source: RNAcentral